UCGUACCUAUAUUCAUUUAGGUAUAGCGCCAAUUCCUUGUUGUUGUAGUAAAUAAUUGUUCGUAAAAAUAUGAAAACACGGUUUUCUAUUUUCUCUCGCGAUUUCUGGUUAUAAAUUCCGGUUAUCAGACGACCGGAGAUCACGCGAAGAUGGAUCUAAUGCAUUUGAUACUUGUGCUACGGGUGGAAACUUUGCAGUGGCAAUGAAAUUGUUCGCAAUUUUGUUUUGAGGUUUCAGUUUCGGGUGAAAACCGGGUUUCGGUUUUCGAUUCGUAUCCGGGACCAAAUUUUUGCCAGAUACCCCGGGUUCCAAAACCGAGUUAUAUCCUGUUUUGACUCCAUGAUUUAAACAAUAUACAACGUUAGCGUCAAGUUUUAAUCUCAGAAGAUAGAACAACAUCUCAACGAGCUCUUAUGCGACAACUAAGAUCUGAACUGUCAAGAAAAAGAAAUCACGAAGGAAAAACUGGAUUAUCAAAUACAACAAAGAACAGUGACGCCCAACUUUUCUUUUGCGGUUUUUGGUAAACAAUUAUCUUCAAGCGGGCCACCAAAUAUAAAACUCUUCAGGAUUUUGAUCAGAGUGACU
This 588-nucleotide long non-coding RNA is filed under the name Sipha flava (yellow sugarcane aphid). Its description in RNAcentral is "uncharacterized LOC112688672, transcript variant X1". Lineage: Eukaryota; Metazoa; Arthropoda; Insecta; Hemiptera; Aphididae. The record is from RNAcentral.